This 497-nucleotide ribosomal RNA is filed under the name uncultured bacterium. RNAcentral describes it as "partial 16S ribosomal RNA". It matches the Rfam family "Bacterial small subunit ribosomal RNA", at positions 28 to 507 of the family's 1533-position model. The record is from RNAcentral.
GACGAACGCUGGCGGCGUGCCUAAUACAUGCAAGUUGAGCGAUGAAGAUUGGUGCUUGCUCCUCUUUGAAGAGCAGCGAACGGGUGAGUAACGCGUGGGGAAUCUGCCUUUGAGCGGGGGACAACUUUUGGAAACGAAUGCUAAUACCGCAUAACAACUUUAACCAUAAGUUUUAAGUUUGAAAGAUGCAAUUGCUUCACUCAAAGAUGAUCCCGCGUUGUAUUAGCUAGUUGGUGAGGUAAAGGCUCACCAAGGCGAAGAUACAUAGCCGACCUGAGAGGGGGGUCGGCCAAAUUGGGACUGAGAAACGGCCCAAACUCCUACGGGAGGGAGCAGGAGGGAAUCUUCGGGAAAGGACGGAAGGCUGAACGAGGAAAGCCGGGGGAGUGAAGAAGGGUGUCGGAUCGGAAAAAUCUGUUGGUAGAGAAGAAAGAUGGGGAGAGUGGAAAGCGCAUGAAGUGACGGUAACUAAUCAGAAAGGGACGGCUAACUACGUG